AAAAAAUAAAAUAAUUCUGCAGUAAUGGAGCCAAAAGCCUGACCUUGCCAGCCAUACCACCAUUUGCACCAUCAGCACCUGCUGUGACAGUCCCUGAACCAAGACAAGAUGAAAGAGAACUCCGGCUCUACCAGAUGCUGGAAGAGAUAAAGGGUCAAGUCAGGCAGAAUACGCUCCUCCUUCAGGCUAUUUUGCAAAGAGAGAAUGCAGCUGAAGUUGUGAAUGAGGAGUUUCAGUUUCCAUUAAGGAGCAUGACAGGCAUAAAAGAUCUGGAGGAUAGGCUGUCAAACAGAGACACACAACGUUCUCUAACAAGAUAUCUUACCAGCUUGGGUGGAACAUCUGCCAAAGACAUUGUCCACAGGAUUAUGAGAGAAAUAAUGACCAAGGGAGAGGACAGAAGAGCCCAUUUUCUACAAUUUUGCUAGCAAAAGUUGUCAUAGAUGCAGCCAAAAAACAAGGAGCAAAAGUGGUGGAAGCCGAGGAAAAAAUAAAAACCUGGCUGAAGUGUAGUGGAGACCGAAAUGGAGGAAGAAAAAAAAGAGCAACAGAAAAAGAAAAGCAGAUGCCUCCCCCUCAAGCAGAUUCCAGCAGCUGUGAAAGUGAAUGAGUAUAUGCUGCUGCUACUUCUCCUCCGCUCCGUCUUCAUCAUCAGAGCCACUCAGUGGGUUUUUUUUGGCCUUGUUCUGCAUUUUCUUUGCUGCCUUUUUUGUCACUUUUUGGUUCCUUGUUGAUU
Long non-coding RNA from Xyrauchen texanus (razorback sucker), 736 nucleotides. RefSeq lists it as uncharacterized. The record is from RefSeq and is a predicted model, not a curated record. NCBI's taxonomy places the organism in Eukaryota, Metazoa, Chordata, Actinopteri, Cypriniformes, Catostomidae. The transcript has 6 exons.